UCAGGAUGAACGCUAGCGGCAGGCUUAACACAUGCAAGUCGAGGGGUAGAAAUAGCUUGCUAUUUUGAGACCGGCGCACGGGUGCGUAACGCGUAUGCAAUCUGCCUUUUGCAAAGGGAUAGCCCAGAGAAAUUUGGAUUAAUACCUUAUAGUAUAUUGAUGUGGCAUCACAUUAUUAUUAAAGAUUUAUCGGCAAAAGAUGAGCAUGCGUCCCAUUAGCUAGUUGGUAAGGUAACGGCUUACCAAGGCAACGAUGGGUAGGGGUCCUGAGAGGGAGAUCCCCCACACUGGUACUGAGACACGGACCAGACUCCUACGGGAGGCAGCAGUGAGGAAUAUUGGACAAUGGGCGCAAGCCUGAUCCAGCCAUGCCGCGUGCAGGAUGACGGCCCUAUGGGUUGUAAACUGCUUUUAUACGGGAAGAAACCCUGNUACGUGUAGCAGACUGACGGUACCGUAA
This 460-nucleotide ribosomal RNA is filed under the name soil bacterium 13V-08. RNAcentral's name for it is "bacterial SSU rRNA". It matches the Rfam family "Bacterial small subunit ribosomal RNA", at positions 24 to 483 of the family's 1533-position model. The record is from RNAcentral.